Molecule: unclassified non-coding RNA, 270 nt
Filed under: fungal sp.
Lineage: Eukaryota; Fungi
Description: partial internal transcribed spacer region
Source: RNAcentral
AAAGUCGUAACGAGGUUUCCGUGGGUGAACCUGCGGAAGGAUCCAAACGUUGAAACAACCCUGUGAAUCAGUUCCCCCAGGGCAGAAAAAUGGGCUUGCAACUGCCCACUUGCCCCCAAGCAAUCAUCAAUCUGAAAUUGUGUGGUGAAUUGUGCAAGGGCAGCGCAGUCAACAUCGGUGGUCCACACGGCCAUCGACCGGCUGACUCUUGGGGCUCAGUCCGACGCACCCCUCAGCGAACAACUGUUAACAAUGGAUAUCUUCGUUCUC